AAGGGAUUGACGAAGGGAUUGCUUUUGAAUUGACCCCUGGUACUGAACUUGCAACUUUGUUAUGCAAAAAAUAUGUAAAACCGACACUUGAAUUUGGAAGAUGUUCUCCGCAUUAUCAACGACCGGGAAGUCACCAUUAAAGAUCUUGCAUGAAGGCUGUUCCGGUGCACGUAUUAUAUCCGAAACGAGAACCCCUCUCAUAGGAAGACGCUUCUGAUGAUUGCGACAAUUUUCGUAAUCCUAAAUUCGCAUAGUAACGUUUAAAAAUAUUGAGGGAUUAUUAGGUGAAUUUUAAAAUUGCUCUUUGUUUUUAAUUUCGCUUCAUUUGAACGAAAGAAUAACGUUAUUUAUGAUAUAACGUACGUCCGAAGAGUAUUGCUGUUCAGGCCUUUCUAUUUUAUCGACAUGCGCUAUUCAAAAAAGUUAUUCAGAGUUGAAAUUAUAUCGCAAAAAUCUAUGAAUUACAUAUUGCGCUAAAUAUGUAGUCAUAGCAAAAUUUUAAAGGUGAAAAGCUCGAACGACGCAUCCGCACGAUUCUGGCAACUUGAAUUUCAGAACUUGAAUUCAAUCAGCCUAUUCUUGCCACAUUCCCAGUCCGCUGCAUUCAAUUAUUAAUCUUUUCCGACUAAGAAUUUGCUGUCCUGCUAUCGAAAUUUAAUAUGCAUCGCAUAUUAUUUAAAUUUUACUGAAGAUUGACUACUUACUUUCUUCUUUUGGUCUAAAUUAAGUAGAAAUGAAGAAAAAUUGGUUUGAUAUUUGAAUUACGAAUUUGUAUUCAUCAGACUUGACACUGUUUUAAUUCAUCACUUGCGAACACUUUGCUGAACAGUUGCUGGACUUGUUGGUUUUCGAUCCAAAAAUGUGAAUGUUCGCAGACAACCGUCUUCUCUCGUAGUUACUGAUCGUGGCGAUGGACACGGAGGGGCAAAAUUUUCAUUACCAUGGCAUCAUGUAUGCAAUCGGCAUUGACUUUAAUUCCUUCUGGUCCAUUUCAAAUUUCUUUGGGUUUCCUGAUUCAGUCGGAAUUUGAUAAAAAUCAUUUAUUUCAACCUGAAUAUCACUUAGUUGUGUUUGAAAUUCAAGAGUUGCCAUCUCGCACGCCUCGAUUCGCUUUUCCAGUUGCUCAAGACGAUCCAUCAUAUUCGGAAACAAGUCAGGGAUUGAUGGUAUAACACUGGGCGGAGAUGGAUAGUAAAAAGCUUGAUGACUUGGAGAAGGAGAAGGGGAUUGUAGACGUGGAUGGUAAUAAGUUGGGUGCGGAAAUGGAUUUGAUAUUUCCUGUCGAUCUCCAAAAUCCAUUAGGUUCUUUUCUUUAUCGGGACUUUCCACUUCAUUUUUAUCCCAAAGAAAAGGCAACAAAGAAAAAACGCUCUUGAUGACUUGUUCGGUCAUUUUGGCGUAUGGGUAGACAACCUGAAGUGUCAAUCUAGUGAUUAGUACUGCCAUUUAUAUAGACUUGUAUACCUCUGUAAACUAUUGGCGUUCAUUUUUCAGCACAUUGUCUUUAACAUUAUUAAUUCAAUUUUAAUGUAGCAACAUUUAUUUUGAUUUGACUGUAAACUAGAAAAUAUUUCGCAUUAUAUUCAAACUGUUAAUCGAUAAUACUUUGAAAAUAUUGUCGAUUUUGGCUAAUCUAAUGAUCUGAUAAACAGUUCCUCUGGCGUAAGUAAAGAGAACUCUGUAAACCCUAAACUUCUGAAACAUUAUAAAAACA
Daphnia pulex (common water flea) is the source of this 1714-nucleotide long non-coding RNA. RefSeq lists it as uncharacterized. Lineage: Eukaryota; Metazoa; Arthropoda; Branchiopoda; Diplostraca; Daphniidae. The record is from RefSeq and is a predicted model, not a curated record. The transcript is spliced from 3 exons.